UACGAAGGGGGCUAGCGUUGCUCGGAAUCACUGGGCGUAAAGCGCACGUAGGCGGAUCUUUAAGUCAGGGGUGAAAUCCUGGAGCUCAACUCCAGAACUGCCUUUGAUACUGAGGAUCUUGAGUCCGGGAGAGGUGAGUGGAACUCCGAGUGUAGAGGUGAAAUUCGUAGAUAUUAGGAAGAACACCAGUGGCGAAGGCGGCUCACUGGCCCGGUACUGACGCUGAGGUGCGAAAGCGUGGGGAGCAAACAGG
This 253-nucleotide ribosomal RNA is filed under the name uncultured bacterium. RNAcentral's name for it is "partial 16S ribosomal RNA". It matches the Rfam family "Bacterial small subunit ribosomal RNA", at positions 524 to 776 of the family's 1533-position model. The record is from RNAcentral.